GUAAGUAAUUCCAGACUAGUGGCGAUAUGGCAAUUUCAAAGCGGCAAAAUAUCAGCGUCGGCGGCGGCGCGCGGCUGAUCAACCGAACUGACAGCUGUCAGUGGCUGACAUGUGUCAAAUUGUACUGUACUACGUUUUAUUAUCGUUGUUAAACAAAGUGAAUUGUUCGAGGAUUACAAACAUUAUUGUAUCGCACAAUAAUAGCAUAUAGCAAUAUAUUGAUGGUGUUCUUACCAUUAUUUACUAUGAUUAUGUUACCAUUGAUUAUCUUAAAUUUAAAUAUUUAUUGAGUUUGUGAGUGGUCUUGGUCUACAGAUUUUAUUUUGGGUCUACAGAGCACAAAGUAUGGGUUAGCAAUAAAAUAUCAAUUAAUUGGUAAUACUUUUAUUUAUUUAAUACAGUUACAAUUUCAGUGGUUAUUUAAUAGAUAGCUCUUACACAAUUAUCUAUCAAAUAAGCAAGAUUGCUGUUGUAUGGGUGGGAUAGAAUAUAAGGCAGUGUCUUUGAUUGUCCCAUCAUUUCGAAGAAUAUAAUGUAACGGCAUUUUAUUUCAGUGUGAGGAAACUUAUAUUAAUAGUUAUACUAAGAAAAUAAAUAGUAAUUAAGUAACAAUGCAAUCUUAAAAAAUAUGGUUACAAAAAUUUCAGUCAUAUUUACAUUAAGAUAGAGUUAGCAGGUAGAUAAAAUUUGUUAAAAUUCUUACAAUUAAAUACAAACUACGUAAAAAUAUUAUAUUACAUAGUUACUCUUAAAGCAUGUGGCCACAGACCUUAAAAGUACAAAGAAGCUAAGCCUACAUCAUUAGAAAUAACUACUCAGGUGGAACCAAGUAAAGAGCCUCUCAAAAUACUAUUUACAAGAUUUCACCGCACCGAAUACCUAAUCCACACAAAAAUACUAAUAAAUAUUUCAUAGAAGAAUACGAAUUUCUGCUGAUCCGACCACUCGAGAGAACGUUCUCAAGUCAAUGUCCUUUCACAAAUUCACUACUUUGAACACAAGUCUUUAG
Molecule: long non-coding RNA, 1009 nt
Organism: Spodoptera frugiperda (fall armyworm)
Lineage: Eukaryota; Metazoa; Arthropoda; Insecta; Lepidoptera; Noctuidae
Exons: 2
Source: RefSeq, a predicted model, not a curated record